Molecule: non-coding RNA, 90 nt
Filed under: Tepidanaerobacter syntrophicus
Lineage: Bacteria; Bacillati; Bacillota; Clostridia; Thermosediminibacterales; Tepidanaerobacteraceae
Description: Glycine sequence
Rfam family: Glycine riboswitch aptamer
About the family: This family represents the bacterial glycine riboswitch. Glycine riboswitches usually consist of two metabolite-binding aptamers domains with similar structures in tandem.
Source: Rfam by way of RNAcentral
AUGAAAAAGAUGAGAGAGACCUUUAAAAAGGCGCCGAAGGGGUAAACCGAGCCAGGUGAAACUCUCAGGCAAAAGGAUCAUCUUUGGACC